Molecule: ribosomal RNA, 1976 nt
Filed under: human oral metagenome
Description: bacterial LSU rRNA
Rfam family: Bacterial large subunit ribosomal RNA
Source: RNAcentral
UAAAAUAAUUAAGGGCACACAAAGGAUGCCUAGGUAGUAAGAGCCGAUGAAGGACGUGGUAAGCUGCGAUAAGCCUAGAUAAGUUGCAAUCGAACGUAAGAGUCUAGGAUUUCCGAAUGGAGCAAUCUAUUAAGAUGGAGUCUUAAUACGAAAGAGGGAACCGCGUGAACUGAAACAUCUAAGUAACGCGAGGAAAAGAAAGUAAAAACGAUACCCAAAGUAGCGGCGAGCGAACUGGGUCAAGCCUAAACCUUAAAUAUGUCAAGGAUACAGCCGUUGUAUUUAAGGGGUUGAGGGACAGAGUUGUGAAGAACUGUAAGAUAUUCAAUAUAGUGUAUUGAUGAAUUAGAAUUGUCUGGAAAGGUGAACCGCAGAAGGUGAAAGUCCUGUAUAAGUAAAUCCUUACACAUAUAACUUUGCUCCCAAGUAACAUGGAACACGAGGAAUUCUGUGUGAAUCAGUGAGGACCAUAUCUCAUAAGGCUAAAUACUCUUACUAACCGAUAGCGCAUAGUACCGUGAGGGAAAGGUGAAAAGAACCCCUGGAGGGGAGUGAAAUAGAACCUGAAAUUGUGUGCUUACAAGCGGUCAGAGCCCAUUAGGGUGAUGGCGUGCCUUUUGGAGAAUGAUCCUGCGAGUUACGUUAAACGGCGAGGUUAAGUAUAACGGAGCCGAAGGGAAACCAAGUCUUAAUAGGGCGAUUUAGUCGUUUGGCGUAGACGCGAAACCUGGUGAUCUAAACCUGUCCAGGAUGAAGCUGUGGUAAGACACAGUGGAGGUCCUAACCCACCGCCGUUGAAAAGUUGGGGGAUGAGGUAGGUUUAGGGGUGAAAAGCCAAUCGAACCAGGAGAUAGCUCGUUCUCUCCGAAAUGCAUCUAGGUGCAGCCUUGAGUGUUCAAUUAUGGGGGUAGAGCACUGAAUGAUCUAGGGGGCAUAUUGCUUACUGAAAUCAAUCAAACUCCGAAUACCAUAAUUUAUAGCUCAGGAGUGAGACUAUGGGAGUUAACUUCCAUUGUCAAAAGGGAAACAACCCAGACCACCAGCUAAGGUCCCUAAUUAUAACUAAGUGGGAAAGGAGGUGGAGAUUCACAAACAACUAGGAGGUUGGCUUAGAAGCAGCCAUACCUUUAAAGAGUGCGUAAUAGCUCACUAGUCGAGAGUCUCUGCGCCGACAAUGUAACGGGGCUAAGUUAUAAACCGAAGCUGUGGAAUCCUUAUGGAUUGGUAGGAGAGCGUUCUGUAGGCCGUUGAAGAAGAAGGGUAACCAACUUUGGAGGUAUCAGAAGUGAGAAUGCAGGAAUAAGUAGCGAGAAAGGGGGCGAGAAUCCCCCUCGCCGGAAGACCAAGGUUUUCAGGGUAAAGCUUGUCUUCCCUGAGUAAGCCGGGACCUAAGCCCAGGCUAUAAUGCGUAGGCGAAUGGAAAACAGAUUAAUAUUUCUGUGCCAGUCAUUUAUUGUGAUGGAGGGACGCAGAAGGGUAUGCGCGCGGACGAUCGGUUGUGUCCGUAGAAGUAUGUAGGGUGACUUAGUAGGUAAAUCCAUUAAGUUAUAUCUGAGGUAUGAUAUACAGUCGUAAGAUGAAUGUGCAAAUCCCACGCUGCCAAGAAAAGCUUCUAACGUUAAUAUAUGACUGCCCGUACUGUAAACCGACACAGGUGGUCAGGAUGAGAAAUCUAAGGCGGACAGGCUAACUCUCGUUAAGGAACUCUGCAAAAUAACCUCGUAACUUCGGGAGAAGAGGAGCCCUUGGGUGUUAGUAUCCAUGCGAUACAAAGCGCUCGAGGGUCGCAGUGAAGAGGCUCAAGCAACUGUUUAACAAAAACACAGGUCUAUGCUAAGCUGGAAGGCGAUGUAUAUGGGCUGACACCUGCCCAGUGCUGGAAGGUUAAGAGGAGGAGUGAGAGCUCCGAAUUGAAGCCCCAGUGAACGGCGGCCGUAACUAUAACGGUCCUAAGGUAGCGAAAUUCCUUGUCGGGU